RNAcentral lists this ribosomal RNA (574 nucleotides) under Flavobacterium sp. RNAcentral's name for it is "bacterial SSU rRNA". It matches the Rfam family "Bacterial small subunit ribosomal RNA", at positions 340 to 916 of the family's 1533-position model. Lineage: Bacteria; Pseudomonadati; Bacteroidota; Flavobacteriia; Flavobacteriales; Flavobacteriaceae. The record is from RNAcentral.
UACGGGAGGCAGCAGUGAGGAAUAUUGGACAAUGGGCGCAAGCCUGAUCCAGCCAUGCCGCGUGCAGGAUGACGGUCCUAUGGAUUGUAACCUGCUUUUAUACGAGAAGAAACACUCCUUCGUGAAGGAGCUUGACGGUAUCGUAAGAAUAAGGAUCGGCUAACUCCGUGCCAGCAGCCGCGGUAAUACGGAGGAUCCAAGCGUUAUCCGGAAUCAUUGGGUUUAAAGGGUCCGUAGGCGGUUUAAUAAGUCAGUGGUGAAAGCCCAUCGCUCAACGGUGGAACGGCCAUUGAUACUGUUAGACUUGAAUUAUUAGGAAGUAACUAGAAUAUGUAGUGUAGCGGUGAAAUACUUAGAGAUUACAUGGAAUACCAAUUGCGAAGGCAGGUUACUACUAAUUGAUUGACGCUGAUGGACGAAAGCGUGGGUAGCGAACAGGAUUAGAUACCCUGGUAGUCCACGCCGUAAACGAUGGAUACUAGCUGUUGGAAGCAAUUUCAGUGGCUAAGCGAAAGUGAUAAGUAUCCCACCUGGGGAGUACGUUCGCAAGAAUGAAACUCAAAGGAAUUGACGG